RNAcentral lists this ribosomal RNA (471 nucleotides) under uncultured organism. RNAcentral describes it as "partial 16S ribosomal RNA". It matches the Rfam family "Bacterial small subunit ribosomal RNA", at positions 335 to 797 of the family's 1533-position model. The record is from RNAcentral.
ACUCCUACGGGAGGCAGCAGUGGGGAAUUUUGGACAAUGGGCGAAAGCCUGAUCCAGCAAUGCCGCGUGAGUGAAGAAGGCCUUCGGGUUGUAAAGCUCUUUUGUCAGGGAAGAAACGGUGAGAGCUAAUAUCUUUUGCUAAUGACGGUACCUGAAGAAUAAGCACCGGCUAACUACGUGCCAGCAGCCGCGGUAAUACGUAGGGUGCAAGCGUUAAUCGGAAUUACUGGGCGUAAAGCGUGCGCAGGCGGUUUUGUAAGUCUGAUGUGAAAUCCCCGGGCUCAACCUGGGAAUUGCAUUGGAGACUGCAAGGCUAGAAUCUGGCAGAGGGGGGUAGAAUUCCACGUGUAGCAGUGAAAUGCGUAGAUAUGUGGAGGAACACCGAUGGCGAAGGCAGCCCCCUGGGUCAAGAUUGACGCUCAUGCACGAAAGCGUGGGGAGCAAACAGGAUUAGAAACCCGAGUAGUCCCA